RNAcentral lists this long non-coding RNA (226 nucleotides) under Olea europaea (common olive). RNAcentral's name for it is "long non-coding RNA (OEUR_LNC003895)". Lineage: Eukaryota; Viridiplantae; Streptophyta; Magnoliopsida; Lamiales; Oleaceae. The record is from RNAcentral.
UUCGAUCCUUGGUACAAACCUUGCAAUUUUUGAUGGAUUUCCCUAUAAUAGUGACUCGGAACAAACCUCCUCCUCAUCAACAUCUUCAACUCAUCCCAAGUGCUAAUUGGCCUUUCCCGACCCCUACGCCGUGAUGUAAGUACUUGAUCCCACCAAGAUAUCGCGUAAUCCACAAAUUCAAGCACUGCCAAUUUUACCUUUUUCUCCUCCGAAUAAUUAUAGCACU